AGACUCUAUACUAAUUGUGCUAAAAAUUUAAAAACUAUAAAUAGCCCUGACCUAUAUACUUGAUUUAAAUCCUCUGUUUUCUCAUCUCCAAAACUUUCCUAUGAGAAUUUGAAUGUAAUUCAACUGAAAAAGUAGGACUAUUCGCGGGGCGAUACUCAGGGAACAACCUUCCAGACUUAUAUCGGACCCCACAAGCGUUACACAAUGUUUUAGGUCCUGUAGGACCUGCACGCCAUUGUGGGGUCUUAUCGACCCCACAAUGCUGGCACGUCCUACCAAUGCUAGUACCUCUUUUAGCUUUAGCCAUUGAUAUUUUGAGCAAUGUUAGUCCUUGCUUAGUACUAGUGUUGUUGAACUUC
RNAcentral lists this unclassified non-coding RNA (359 nucleotides) under Hevea brasiliensis (rubber tree). Lineage: Eukaryota; Viridiplantae; Streptophyta; Magnoliopsida; Malpighiales; Euphorbiaceae. The record is from RNAcentral.